GUUUCUGUUAUUCCAACUAUAUCACAUCUACCUCCAUGUAUUAAUAGUUCAAGUUCACCCUGUUUGUUCCCCAGACUUUGUGCAUUUGUAUAUGGGCACUUGAGAUCUUUAUGUCUGACUCUGGGUAUGCUUCCUAUGUGUCCUAUUCGGUGUUUGAGUUUGUGUUCCUUCCCAUCCCUCCUUACUUCAUUAUUUGACUUGCUUUCUAGGGGUUUUUGCUUAGAAUUAGGUCCUGGAGAUCCUAAAGAUUGGUCACCCUCCCCCCUCAAUUUUUGUUUAAAGCCCUUCUGAUAAGUUGAGCCAUGGAGAAGAGGAAGCAA
This is a non-coding RNA of Notechis scutatus (mainland tiger snake), 320 nucleotides long. The record is from RefSeq and is a predicted model, not a curated record. Lineage: Eukaryota; Metazoa; Chordata; Lepidosauria; Squamata; Elapidae.